GAGCUCGUAGGCGGUUUGUCGCGUCUGCUGUGAAAUCUGGGGGCUCAACCCCCAGCCUGCAGUGGGUACGGGCAGACUAGAGUGCGGUAGGGGAGAUUGGAAUUCCUGGUGUAGCGGUGGAAUGCGCAGAUAUCAGGAGGAACACCGAUGGCGAAGGCAGAUCUCUGGGCCGUAACUGACGCUGAGGAGCGAAAGCGUGGGGAGCGAACAGGAUUAGAUACCCUGGUAGUCCACGCCGUAAACGUUGGGAACUAGAUGUGGGGGCCAUUCCACGGUCUCCGUGUCGCAGCUAACGCAUUAAGUUCCCCGCCUGGGGAGUACGGCCGCAAGGCUAAAACUCAAAGGAAUUGACGGGGGCCCGCACAAGCGGCGGAGCAUGCGGAUUAAUUCGAUGCAACGCGAAGAACCUUACCAAGGCUUGACAUAUACCGGAAACGUCCAGAGAUGGUCGCCCCGCAAGGUCGGUAUACAGGUGGUGCAUGGUUGUCGUCAGCUCGUGUCGUGAGAUGUUGGGUUAAGUCCCGCAACGAGCGCAACCCUCGUUCUAUGUUGCCAGCACGUUAUGGUGGGAACUCAUAGGAGACUGCCGGGGUCAACUCGGAGGAAGGUGGGGAUGACGUCAAAUCAUCAUGCCCCUUAUGUCUUGGGCUUCACGCAUGCUACAAUGGCCGGUACAAAGGGCUGCGAUACCGUAAGGUGGAGCGAAUCCCAAAAAGCCGGUCUCAGUUCGGAUUGAGGUCUGCAACUCGACCUCAUGAAGUCGGAGUCGCUAGUAAUCGCAGAUCAGCAACGCUGCGGUGAAUACGUUCCCGGGCCUUGUACACACCGCCCGUCAAGUCAUGAAAGUCGGUAACACCCGAAGCCAGUGGCCUAACCCUUGUGGAUGGAGCUGUCGAAAGGUGGGAUCGGUGAUUAGGACGAAGUCGUA
Molecule: ribosomal RNA, 928 nt
Filed under: Frigoribacterium sp.
Lineage: Bacteria; Bacillati; Actinomycetota; Actinomycetes; Micrococcales; Microbacteriaceae
Description: bacterial SSU rRNA
Rfam family: Bacterial small subunit ribosomal RNA
Source: RNAcentral